Aquila chrysaetos chrysaetos is the source of this 1033-nucleotide long non-coding RNA. RefSeq lists it as uncharacterized. The transcript has 2 exons. The record is from RefSeq and is a predicted model, not a curated record. NCBI's taxonomy places the organism in Eukaryota, Metazoa, Chordata, Aves, Accipitriformes, Accipitridae.
UUUCACUUUACUGGCAAACAGCUCUGCUGAAACAGUGCUAGAAAGUUUAUCAUGAGAUACCACAGACUAUACUGAUGCAUAUUAAGCACUCAUCAUCUGUAGGCAUAGCUGUAGUGUAUAUCUGAAGAUUUUGAUGGUAUCAAGCUCCGGAUCCAGAAUCUUCUCUGCGGUCUGCAGGUGUGGUAGUUCAGGGAAGGGCAAUGUGCAUUUGUAGCUUUACCCCACUUUGUACGUCUGAGACUCUGGAUGCGUUUGGGUACAAAGCUGACAAAGAACCUGAGCAGCAGAGUUCACUCUGGGACGCUGUGCUGGUGUAAUUUUACUCGUGUAGCUACAUUUAGUAGCCUGGAAAGAAAUAUGACAUGCUGGGAAGCAGAGCGGGGCAGGGUCUAAGACUACUAUUUGAGGAAACAUUUGUCACAGGAGCUCUGGAUAUGUUUCUUGCUCAGAGUCUAGCUGUUUUCCAUGUAGUUUCGUUCUGAUGAGGAGUAUAACAAGGCUGGGAAGCAGUCUGAUGGCUCUGAGAGGUGGCUUCCAGAAAGAUGUUUUUCAAGCUGCCAGGAGCACACAAUGACAUGUCAGUCCCAUGAAACCGGCGCUUGUGAAGAGUGAUGGAUCUGCAGCUCUGGAACCUGUUUUCACGCUUAAAAUCUGACUCUACCACUUGCUGUUGCACAGCUGCUCCAGGGAGAGAAACUGUCCCCUGAGGUGCAAGGAAGGGACAGUCAGCCCGAUUCAACAUCCAUUCUGAAUUUACUGUACAAUAAUACACCACAAACACCCUUCAGGUACAAGUAUAUGGUAUCAUAUGCUUCACUGCAAGACGUUAAUUACUGUAUGAAGGUAACUGCCUUAAUUCAGCAAGUGAAGCACCAUUCUGCCAAGUUAUAUUAACAAAAAACAAGCUAGCAUUUUUAGAAACAUGACAGUCUUUCCUUGAGAUGAAUUAACUUCUUUAAUUUGAAUGCUAUUGCCACAUCACAAAACAUCACAUAACCGAUAACUGUUUAACAAUAAAUUAUUAAUAAUGUGA